Molecule: ribosomal RNA, 200 nt
Filed under: uncultured bacterium
Lineage: Bacteria
Description: partial 16S ribosomal RNA
Rfam family: Bacterial small subunit ribosomal RNA
Source: RNAcentral
AGAGUUUGAUCAUGGCUCAGGAUAAACGCUGGCGGCGUGCCUAACACAUGCAAGUCGAACGCCCUCGGGCAACCGAGGGAGUGGCGGACGGGUGAGCAACACGUGGGUACCUACCCUUCAGUGAGGAAUACCGGCGAGAAAUCGCCGACAAGACCGCAUAUUCUUCGUAAGAAGCAAAGCUCGCAAGAGCGCUGAAGGAU